CAGAGCCAAGGUCUGUGGGAGCUGUACUCUAACAUGGAGCUGACUAUGAUCCCUGUGCUGGCAGCCAUGGAGAGUCACAGGAUCCAUGUGGACACGGAGUCCCUAAAGACAACAUCAGAGAUGCUGGGGACUAAGAUGAAGCAGCUAGAGCACGAGGCCCACCAGGCAGCAGGCCAGAUGUUUCUAGUGACCAGCAGCACCCAGCUCAGGACGGUCAGUGUGUGUGUAUAGGCGUGUUUAUAGGUACUAUGUAUGUGUGUGUGCUGUCCUAAUCCUGCUCUCUACAGGUUCUGUUUGAAAAGCUGCAUCUGCAGGAGCGCUGUGAAAACAAGAAGCUCCCCAAGACUCUCAACAAACAACAGCAGUCUACAUCUGAGGCUGUUUUGUUGCAGCUCCAGGACCUGCACCCCCUGCCGAAGAUCAUUCUCGAAUACAGACAGGUUCAUAAGAUCAAGUCUACCUUCGUCGACGGGGUUCUGUCUUGUAUGAUGAGUAAGAACUUCAUCUCGUGCACAUGGUACCAGACCAGUGCAGUGACUGGAAGAAUUUCUGCCAAACACCCA
This is a long non-coding RNA of Oncorhynchus kisutch (coho salmon), 563 nucleotides long. RefSeq lists it as uncharacterized. The record is from RefSeq and is a predicted model, not a curated record. The transcript has 6 exons. Lineage: Eukaryota; Metazoa; Chordata; Actinopteri; Salmoniformes; Salmonidae.